AUACGUAGGGGGCGAGCGUUGUCCGGAAUGAUUGGGCGUAAAGGGCGCGUAGGCGGCCUGUUAAGUCUGGAGUGAAAGUCCUGUUUUCAAGAUGGGAAUUGCUUUGGAUACUGUCGGGCUUGAGGGCAGGAGAGGUAAGUGGAAUUCCCAGUGUAGCGGUGAAAUGCGUAGAGAUUGGGAGGAACACCAGUGGCGAAGGCGACUUACUGGACUGUAACUGACGCUGAGGCGCGAAAGUGUGGGGAGCAAACAGGAUUAGAUACCCUGGUAGUCCACACUGUAAACGAUGAAUGCUAGGUGUAGGGGGUAUCGACCCCUUCUGUGCCGCAGUCAACACAAUAAGCAUUCCGCCUGGGGAGUACGGCCGCAAGGUUGAAACUCAAAGGAAUUGACGGGG
This 397-nucleotide ribosomal RNA is filed under the name uncultured bacterium. RNAcentral's name for it is "partial 16S ribosomal RNA". It matches the Rfam family "Bacterial small subunit ribosomal RNA", at positions 523 to 918 of the family's 1533-position model. The record is from RNAcentral.